RNAcentral lists this ribosomal RNA (443 nucleotides) under uncultured bacterium. Its description in RNAcentral is "partial 16S ribosomal RNA". It matches the Rfam family "Bacterial small subunit ribosomal RNA", at positions 338 to 795 of the family's 1533-position model. The record is from RNAcentral.
CCUACGGGUGGCAGCAGUGGGGAAUAUUGGGCAAUGGGCGCAAGCCUGACCCAGCAACGCCGCGUGAAGGAAGAAGGCUUUCGGGUUGUAAACUUCUUUUGUCAGGGAUGCAGCAAGUGACGGUACCUGACGAAUAAGCCACGGCGAACUACGUGCCAGCAGCCGCGGUAAUACGUCGGUGGCAAGCGUUAUCCGGAUUUAUUGGGUGUAAAGGGCGUGUAGGCGGGAAUGCAAGUCAGAUGUGAAAACUAUGGGCUCAACCCAUAGCCUGCAUUUGAAACUGUAUUUCUUGAGUGCCGGAGAGGCAAUCGGAAUUCCGUGUGUAGCGGUGAAAUGCGUAGAUAUACGGAGGAACACCAGUGGCGAAGGCGGAUUGCUGGACAGUAACUGACGCUGAGGCGCGAAAGCGUGGGGAGCAAACAGGAUUAGAUACCCCAGUAGUC